AGUGAACGCUGGCGGUAGGCCUAACACAUGCAAGUCGAACGGCAGCACAGUAAGAGCUUGCUCUUACGGGUGGCGAGUGGCGGACGGGUGAGGAAUACAUCGGAAUCUACUUUUUCGUGGGGGAUAACGUAGGGAAACUUACGCUAAUACCGCAUACGACCUACGGGUGAAAGCAGGGGAUCUUCGGACCUUGCGCGAUUGAAUGAGCCGAUGUCGGAUUAGCUAGUUGGCGGGGUAAAGGCCCACCAAGGCGACGAUCCGUAGCUGGUCUGAGAGGAUGAUCAGCCACACUGGAACUGAGACACGGUCCAGACUCCUACGGGAGGCAGCAGUGGGGAAUAUUGGACAAUGGGCGCAAGCCCGAUCCAGCCAUACCGCGUGGGUGAAGAAGGCCUUCGGGUUGUAAAGCCCUUUUGUUGGGAAAAAAAAGCAGCAGGUUAAUACCCCGCUGUUCUGACGGUACCCAAAGAAUAAGCACCGGCUAACUUCGUG
This 492-nucleotide ribosomal RNA is filed under the name uncultured bacterium. RNAcentral describes it as "partial 16S ribosomal RNA". It matches the Rfam family "Bacterial small subunit ribosomal RNA", at positions 29 to 507 of the family's 1533-position model. The record is from RNAcentral.